This 261-nucleotide ribosomal RNA is filed under the name uncultured bacterium. RNAcentral describes it as "partial 16S ribosomal RNA". It matches the Rfam family "Bacterial small subunit ribosomal RNA", at positions 556 to 793 of the family's 1533-position model. The record is from RNAcentral.
UUACGUGGGACGUAAAGCGCAUGCAGGUCGUUGUUAAGUCAGAUGUGAAAAGCCCGGGGCUUACAACCGUACGGUAAUUGCUAUUUAGAAACGUGGCGAACUAGAGUACUGUAGAGGGGGGUAGAAUUUCAGGUGUAGCGGUGAAAUGCGUAGAGAUCUGAAGGAAUACCGGUGGCGGAAGGACGGGCCCCCGUCCGGACGAGAAUACUGACACUCAGAUGCGAAAGCGUGGGGAGCAAACAGGAUUAGAUACCCUGGUAG